UCUGGCAAUUGGAAUGAGAACAAUUUAAACCCCUUAUCGAGUAUCAAUUGGAGGGCAACUCUGGUGCCAGCAGCCGCGGUAAUUCCAGCUCCAAUAGCGUAUAUUAAACUUGUUGCAGUUAAAAAGCUCGUAGUUGGAUUUGUGGCAGUCGCAUGCGGCCCGGCAUUCGUGUCGGUGUUUGGUCGCGUUGCCAUCCUUGGGUGGAACUGAUGUGGCAUUAGGUUGUCGUGCAGGGGAUGCCCAUCAAUUACUGUGAAAAAAUUAGAGCGUUCAAAGCAGGCUUAUGCCGUUGAAUAUAUUAGCAUGGAAUAAUAAGAUAGGACUUUGGUACUAUUUUGUUGGUUUGCGCACCAAGGUAAUGAUUAAUAGGGACAGUUGGUGGUAU
Molecule: ribosomal RNA, 385 nt
Filed under: Nitzschia palea
Lineage: Eukaryota; Bacillariophyta; Bacillariophyceae; Bacillariales; Bacillariaceae
Description: SSU rRNA
Rfam family: Eukaryotic small subunit ribosomal RNA
Source: RNAcentral